UGUUUUUCUGUGUGGUAAACUGAUUUUGUCUUUGUGGAGGAUCCUGAAAAUCAUCAUCUGAAUCAAUGUCAUCUUCAUUAUGACUAGCAGAUCCAGGAACAAGCUUCUUCGGUAUAUGAAAAGCUGAAAUCUCCUUUCUUGUUGGCUCGAUAUUCUUAAAAACAACCUACAAUUUAAAUAACAUAAUAAAAAUAAUAAUUUAGAUGGUAAAAUUAAUAACAUUAUAAAUCAGUUAACCAUGAUCCAAACCCAAUAAUGAAUAUACACUAACAAAUGGUAUGUUGUAUAUAUACAUAUACCAGAUCUGAAAAUACAUUUACAAAAUAAUCAACAUCACAUACAAAAAAAAAUCGUAAAACUAACCUUGUCAUCUGUAUCAUCAAACAUACUUUCCAUAAGAGUUUCAUAUUUUGGACGAGGAGAAUUUGUCUUCCAAUUCAAAAUACAAGGGAUUUGAGAAUCCACCUUGGAAGCAACAUUACGAGGCAUGUUUGAACAACACUCGUACAACCAAAUUUGAAUGACCAGUGACAUUCCAAGAAGCAUAUAGAACUUUCCUUUCGGCUUCAAUUUUUUAUGCAAACUUCUUGCUAAUUCUUCAAAUGCAACCGAUCCCCACAGAUAAUCACUGUAGCGACCACUCUCAACCAAAUCAAAGUGGAGGCGUGAAAUAGCUACGGUAUCAACUGAUGAUAGUAAGAAUGCGUGAAUAAAAUACAAAUUGGUAAACUUUAACACAUCUUCAUCGUUAUCAUUCACCUAAAUUUUGUCAAAAAUAGCAGCAUAUAAAUUCUUUUCUGUACAAAACUCUCACCAUCAAAAUAUUGAUCAAUAAUUUUAUUUAGGCGCUCCUCGUCAAACACAAAUUCAUCCUUAUUUGUAGCACAAUUGAAACCAGUCACCAAAGCAAACUCUCUAAUAAUGAAAUGAAGAAUUGUGCCCUUUGCUUGAAUGACUAUGGCACUUGUAGAACUUUCUCUAGUUUCAAGUGACAUAAUGCAUCUCCCUAACUGGGCUUGAACUACACAAUUUUUCUUCUUUAUUAAGAAACCAAAUAUACUUUUAGUACAAAACAUCUUGUACUGACUCUUCGUCAACAUUGUCUUAAUACGGUUUUCAAUGUCAUUGACUGUAUGACAUUCUAUAUAAGGAGCAAAUUUGUACAAUACCCGGGCCAUAAAUAUUUGAUCACGAAUGACCUAAACAACAAAAAAAUACAUUUAUAUGACAAAACUGUCUCUUAUAUGUAUUUAUGAAAUACAUCUUAAAACUAGUUUAUACAAAUUGUCUUAUAUGUAUUUAUGAAAUACAUCUUAUAGUUAUUUUAUAAGAUGUAUAAUAACAAAUACAACUAUGUAUGUAAAAAAUAUAUUUCAACAAAUAAGAAAUACAUAUCACAUUAAAAAUCUAAUGACUACCAAAUACAACUUAACAUCGAAUAAAAAUCUUAGAGGUAACAUAAAAACACAUAUCUAAACUGUAUGUAUUUUCAUAAUACACAUUAGAAUUAUAUUUCAACAAACAAAUUAUGUAUUUUGUGAAUACAUGAUUUGUACAAAUUUAAUUAACAAGACAAGAAUAUAACAACACAUAUACAAAUUAUAUAACAAAUGUAUUUUAAUAAUACAUAUUAAAAACAUUCUUUUAUAUGUAUUUAUAAAAUAUGAAGGGAAGUAAAUUGGUAAAGAAAAGUAAAAGAAGUGAUGUGAUAUCACGCGCUUUACAAAAAAAAAAUAUUGUUAUUUUUGUUAUAAGUUGUAGUUUUACCAAACUAUUGUUAUUUUUUGUAAUUAAAGUAUUAAGGUUGCUAGUUUAUACAUCUUAAAACUAGUUUAUACAAAUUGUCUUAUAUGUAUUUAUGAAAUACAUCUUAUAGUUAUUUUAUAAGAUGUAUAAUAACAAAUACAACUAUGUAUGUAAAAAAUAUAUUUCAACAAAUAAGAAAUACAUAUCACAUUAAAAAUCUAAUGACUACCAAAUACAACUUAACAUCAAAUAAAAAUCUUAGAGGUAAACCUAAAAACACAUAUCUAACCUGUAUGUAUUUUCAGAAUACAUAUUAGAAUUAUAUUUCAACAAACACAUAUGUAUUUUAUGAAUACAUGAUUAUUACAAAUUUAAUUAAAAAGAAAAUAAUAUAACAACACAUAUACAAAUUAUAUAACAUAUGUAUUUUCAGAAUAUAUAUUACACUUCUACAGUUUCUAUUUCAGCCAUUUUCCCAAAAGAAUAUAUAUAUAUACAGAAACCUAAUAAAUACAAAUAUCUUACACAAAAUUUAGAUAUGAAAUACAUAUUUAAAAUAUAUUGUAUAUAGCAUAUACAAUUCAUAUCAAUAACAAGAUUUUCGAAUAGUACCAUACCUCCUCCACUUUCUCUUAUUCAGAUUCAGAAUCUGAUGCAAUGGGACUUGCAAUUUUACUAUAUUCUCCUUUUUCAUCCGACUUUUUCCUUUUCACUGAUUUUUGAAAUUUUGUGGGAGAUAAAGUUUUUGUCAAUCCUUUCCUUUUCAUUAUUUCCACAAUCUUUUCGGAAUCGUUACAGUGCUCAGAUCUCAACUCUUCAAUGGUAACACCUUCAUUAGAGAAAACAUUAGUAGAACCCAAAUUAAAAACUUCAUCUUGUAUUAAACCAAGAUUAAACGAUGGUACUUCAUCGGUAAGUAAAUUCUUCAGUUGAUUUUCUCUAACUGAACAACUUCAAUUUGUAUGUUGAGCCAUUAUAAAUUUUAACAGAAAAAAAAAAUUGAUCCGAAACAGAGAAUUUUCGCAGAACUAAUAUUGAAGAAAAUGGGAACACUAAACACAUUAACAAAAAUUAAAUGAAAAAAAGUAACAUGCAUUAACUGAAAGAAAUACUUACCUUAAAAAGUGGGUAAGAUCUUUAUCAAGAUCUUGAGAGAGAUAUGCGGAAAUUGAAGAGAAAAAAAAGAAACGAAAGUUGGAGAGAAGUAAAUUGAUAAAGUUGAGUAAAAGUAGGAAUGUGAAAAGUUUGAGGUGAUAUCACGCGCUUUUCAAAAAAAAAAAAUAUUAUUAUUAUUGUUAUAAGUUGUAAUUUUAUCAAACUAUUGUUAUUUCUUGUAAUUAAAGUCUUAAGGUUGUUAGUUUAUGUAAUUUUUCCUAAAUAAAAUGAUGACAUCUUAGGGAGUUUACCUAGAUUAGUUUAUUUACCAGUUAGUUAAUACAAAUAAACAAAGAUUAAGUUACAAAAAAUGAAUACAAGAAUGGAAGUAGAGAUUUGGGCCCCUUUUUAGCCCAUUCUCAAAUCUGGACAUCAUUGGUUUUGGGUCUAUUUAAAUGGCCCUUUUUAACCCUCUUUCAGCUGUGUAUAUCAGAUGUAUAUCACAGCUGAAUGUCUACACUUUUUUCUGUAUAAUUGACGUAUACGUGACUAAAAAUCAGUCACAUACGGCCCCUUUGAUCCUCCAGAUGACUCAACAGUUAGGGACAAAUUGGGAGUGCUUAUCUCUACAUAAAAUAUUAUCAUUAUAAUUUGCUUAAGAGAAAUCAAGAAAUACCAAUAAAACUAUUGUUUGUGACUGAUGUAUUAUUUGCAUCUAAAAAUUUAUACCGAUAAUACUACAUCCCAGACCUUAACUCCAAAAAAAAAAAACAAAGAGAAAAUGAUAACGACUUCAUCCUCUCCUACUUUCGCAUUAUACCAUAAUAGUAUGUGUUUUAAGCCACAUUCAUUUAAACAUGAUAAAGAACUUCGUUCACCCACAAAAUCUUACCAAAAUUCACAAUAUACCCAUACACAAUAACAACAACAAACGCUACAACAGCGUACAACAUGAAGGUUAACAGACAAAAACGUUAACAGCAAAAUAAACAACGCCAAAUAACGCACAGCAGCAACGGCACACAGCCCUCACGACACCAAAUUUCAUUGCACAUAAAUCUUAUGUCCCUUGAGUCUCUACAGCAAACAAUCCCAGCAACAUUAUUAUUACGAUAACGCUAACAAAGAAAUAAUUACGAUAAAAGAAACCGAAAGAGAAUGAUGUUUACCUUUCCCCGGGCAGCGAAUCAGAACAGCGAGUCGAUGACGACUUCCAAUCGGAGUUUAAAUUUCAAAUUUUUGGAAUUUAAUUUCCGUCGGAAUUGAGUUUUUGAGUACGUUUCUUCAAGAAUCUUAUGGGUUACAUAGGAUUAAAAGCACGCGCCUCAUGAAUCCUCAAUUUUUCCUCCAAAAAAUCCUCCUUCCUUCACUCUACGGACAUGGGUAUUUAUAGGGGAUUUGACAGACUUUGGGGGAAACUGAGGGGUAAAAAGGGAAAAAUGAAUUGAUAUUUGAAUUUUAAAAAUUGAGAUGAGGUUGCUGAGCUGCUUUUGCCAUUGUUGUACUGUUGUUGCGUUUAUAUUGUUUCUGUUAUCGCAGUUGUCGUUGAAAGUUGUUGUUGUCAUUUGUGUUGAAAUUGUUGUUCUGGAUUGCUGACUGCUGUUGAAGUUGGAAUUGUUUUGCGUUGAUGGUUUGCUGAAACUGGUGUUGGAUGGGUCGGGUUUUGUCCGUUGAAAUUGUUGUUCUUGAAAUUGUUGGCUGUUAUUGUUGGUUUUUGUAGGCUGAGGGGAUAUAAGGGGAAAGGGAAC
RNAcentral lists this long non-coding RNA (4589 nucleotides) under Capsicum annuum. Its description in RNAcentral is "long non-coding RNA (CANN_LNC015559)". Lineage: Eukaryota; Viridiplantae; Streptophyta; Magnoliopsida; Solanales; Solanaceae. The record is from RNAcentral.